Molecule: long non-coding RNA, 7638 nt
Organism: Bombus pyrosoma
Lineage: Eukaryota; Metazoa; Arthropoda; Insecta; Hymenoptera; Apidae
Exons: 3
Source: RefSeq, a predicted model, not a curated record
AAAUCUCUUACUGCGGUUCCUUAUCGAUACGAGGUCGCGUUCACUCGAUAGGACCUCCUUGUCGAUUUUCCCUCCACGAAUUCUAUCUUUCGGCGGCGAUGAUUCGAUGGAUGUUCCAUCCUUCAAUUUCCAUAGGCAUACGGCACGUUUUUGUAAUAUUUAUGGAACGUUUCAAGCGUUCUUUUCGAGCGAAAGAGAGGAAAGCUUACGUUUCUGGUAAGAACAAGUUGAAUUAGUUAAUAACAUCGGAAUCAGAAUAUCAAUAUUUUAUUAGCGUAGCGAAGUUUCGCUCGAUACCCAACAGCAACUAUCCAGAAGUUUAUUUAUCUUGAAAUUGGUGGAUUAAGGAGAAACUAACCGUAAUCGUCAGACGUCUGGCGGUGGAUGUGGUUUCGACCAGGCGGACGUAGCGUUAGUAGAUAUUUUCCAUCAAUGUCAGACGUUCGUGUACUAAUGCAUCGAAGAUGCGCGUUUCUGCACGAUUUUCAACUGUCGCAUUCGGUUAUCGAUUUAUAAGAAAUCCCACCUUUACACUAACUUGUAAAUGAUCGUGUAGAGAAACGUAGGCGAUAUAGCCGUUCCCUAAUUGAAUCAUUUCAAGCGCGUUCACUUCGCUACUACGAAUUCAUUUCUGCUCUUUUGCAUUUUUUAAUCUAGGAAAUUAUAAGCAACGAAUUUAAUUAUUGCGAGGUAAAUUUUUCUGUUAAAAACGGAACAAUAUAUAGUAGGUAAUAGGUAUUACUUAAAUUUGAAAGCAACAUAUGGGUUAACGUAUUCAUUGUUAGAAAGCGUAGCUGCAUUGAAAUUGCACACUUUUUUCAUUACAAAUGUCUUCAUCUUUAUUGCAACGUACUAUGUCUAACGCUUCCUCUAUUUUUCUAAGCCAUAUUGUUGAUAAAUUGAAAAACUGCGGUAGUCGUGCCAGCCGCGUUAUUCGAAUAAUCAAAGCGUGGUAGCGAAUACAUGACACGAAUGAUAUGAAAUUAUAAUUUAAAGGAAGAUGAUACAAAUAAUAAUAAAUUCGACGGAAUAUUUUUAAAAAUACCAUUUCAUCAGUCGCGUUCUUGUAUUUUUCAAUUUAUGCGAUCGAUCGAUACGAUAUCUGAACCACUUGAACGUUCGAUUCUUAUGUUCAAGAGAUUGGUAAUCCACGAGUCAACUAUUUAUUUAACAGGUUAAAAUAAUCGUUUAAACCUCUGAGAGAUUGAUGGAAUAGAAAAAUACGAGUAAUCAGGAUAGGAAAAAUCCAGCGUGGCAGACUUCAGAGAUACUCGGUAGCGAAAACAAAAAAGUUUGUUCGGCGGUUGCGAAUUUAGGGCGCGAAACGUGGACGGGCGUCGAGCGUCCCUGAAUUUACGGGAUUUUCGUCGGCGGGCGCGAUUUCACCGUGGCGCUUUGCCAUUGUAUUCGCGGAAUUUCUCUCGUUCAUUGUUACAUAGCGGCGUUGGUGGCGCGGUUGGAAAAUUACGAGGCUGCCUCCUCCACUUCCUCUUUCUUCGUCUCUCGUCCGGCCGCGUUAUUUCUCCGGUGUACAAUGACGUGGAAAAGCCGAAGAAGGCUUUCACGCGCGUCCUUGUUGUCGCCUCGUUUUUACCUACGUUUUUUCCUUCCUAUUUGCACCUGUCCGUGACGUCCGGUAACGCGAUUGUAUCUUUCGUCACAACGAUACGUAGAUUCGCUUUGUUAACCCUUUUGCUGCUUUACCCUUGGAACUGGCAACGCUUUCAAUACGAAAAAAUAUGCGUCCGAAUAAUCGAAUACAUCGUUGUAAAUAUUAAUUAUGGUGUAAUUAUUAUUAAACGUCAAUCAACGAUAAAUUCUGACAUAAAUGGAAAUACAAAUGAUUGCGUUGUAUCGAAGACGAGUAUCUAAGGUUUUCAGCGAGCCAUUAAAUGGUCAGUAGUUGAGGGCUCAGUGGACAGACGCAUCGAGGGAUUCUUUGAGAAAGAACCUGGAUAUAGUAAUUUCUUAAUUCAAUAGGUGAAAUUUUGAAUUCGGUACGUUUAAGUUCAAAAGUAAAUUCUGGAAUCAAAUUACGCGUUUAAAGCAAUAUCGAUGAAGUUGAAUGUUUCUUACAAAUUGUGCAUUUAUCACGUAUUUCCUAUCAGAUCGCUAUCUUUCUCGACUAUAUUAUCUAUCGGAGUACUUCUUCUCAGCCAUCGAGUGGACUAAAAUCAAACAGAAAAUGAACAAGAAUUGACCUAUCGUAUUUUUUUCCAUGUGAUGUUCGAUUAGAAAAAAGAAAACAACAAAGAGAGUUAUAACAAGGGGAGUACACGUUGUUGGGAAAGUGGUUUGUCACUUUCACAGUUUUAUCAUUCUACGUCUUAGAUGGAGUAGCGUAUGUAGACUUUGUCUCGUUCGUUAAGCUCUGCACCAAGUCGUCGCUUCCUCUUGCGAGAUUCACUUUGUAGGCCAUGGAUGAAAGAGCGCGUGGAGAAUCGUGCAACCUUCGACGAACAAAGGUAAUCGUAAGGUUGCGCGGCUUGUGUAUCCGGCAACUGUGUUUCACGUUCACUCGAUACCUAGCGUUUUAUAAGCGUGAAUCGCAGUUACAUGAAGCGUGAGUAGCGUUUUUCCGUGACAUUACGGAAAUACGAUAAGAACGGACAUCGCAGUAAUCCAAUCGUAGGCCGACACUGAUUUUAUUAACGGUAGCGAAUACCGACGACGAUCGUGUUUAGUUGGUUCUAUUCUAUGCUGCGACAACGUUGAUCAUCGUUCCCUCGAACGGCAGGAACGUCUUCGUGCAGAAGCAUUGAUUGAAUUCAUGCUCGGCCGGAUUUCUCCGAUUCGCUUGCUCGAGCCUGGAAUAAAGCGUAGAUCGAGAAACGAAGAGAGGAAUCACGGACCGGCGUAAGAGGAUUUCGCCUAACUCCGUCCGUCUACUGAAUAAUUGAACCUCGCGGCAAUCUCUGCCGCCCUGUUCCGCCAAGAAUGAGACCGACAAACCUUCGCUUCGGCUCGAUAUUACGGCCGAAGCUAGGGAAAUUGCUUGGCUGGCCGCGAGGCACGAAUUUGCAUGGCCAUUUUCACGAUCGCAAUUCUACGAUCUCCAAUGGUUUUGUAAUCGUACAAAAACUCCACCGAUCAUUUGCUCUUCGCCCGCGUGACUCGCUCUUUUCCGACGACGAGGACGACCGCUUGGCGACCAAUGGGGUAGACGCUUUGGCAAAUUUCGCGUUAGCGGGACCGCGUCAUCGAGGUCGAUGCGCCCGUGGAAGAUGGACGAGGAGGAAGGGGUUCGUACCGAAGUAAAAAUUGACGAGAACGAGACGAGAACCACCUCGAGGAGGGAGGAAGAACGUCAGAGUAAGAAACUGAGCGACAGAGACGGUAGAGAGAUUUUUGGGGUUAAUAGGAGAGGUAUCAAGGGUUGGAAAGAUGGCUAACGCGUUUAAGAGAGUCUCGCUAAGGGAGCCUGGAAGUAAUUCCAUUAAUAACGAAAAUUAAUUGAACGACGAGUUCUUUCCGUGGAAUUCCGCGAGUGGUCUGACUCGUAUGAAAGGAACGGAGUUCGUGGCCGAGUUAAAAGGACGUCCUUAGGACGAGCUAAGGACGUUUCCCGAAUCCUUUGUAAUUAAAGACUUUCCACUCGAGAGGUGAUCGUCCCGGAAGUUGUGCCAUCGAGUAGAGGAAACAGAGCGUACGUUAACGAACGAUAUUUAUCACGUUCGUGGUCUCGAAUUAAUCGCAGAUGCGCCUGAAACAAAGAGACGUUAUCGGUCUCGUUUUUAUCUCCAUCUGUCGUUUAUUUUGUUCUAUUUCAAUCACCUGGAAAAAUCUGUACGGUAACGAGAAGAAAUUCGUGCAGAAGAGAGGAAAGUUCGUGUAAAACGAAUCGAAUGGAACGAGAGUGUCGGACGCGAUGUACAAAUACUUCAUUAGCGCGCAUAGAAAUUCACCGAGUAACCCAAAGGGGUUUUUAUCGUAUAUUUUAAACGACAGGACAAUGUCCGUCGAUCGGCUUCAAGUGAGAGUUAUUUAUAUUUCAACUUUAUCCUCGCGCGAGUCCAGCUUCCGUUCGCGAACCUCCUAUCGAGAGGAGACGCAGUUGCUCGUCUCUGAUUUUUAUUCUCCCUUGAUGAAAUCUAUUCACGCAAGCAGGAAGAUGGAUAAAAUUCCUGGUAUACCAGUUAAGCGGUCUUAUACUAAUGUCAGGCGUGAUUAAAGCAUAAUAGAAUACCGAUUGCGCGAACUAUUAAUAGAACGAUCAAUUAUCGGAACAACGAUUAACGAAAAAUUCGAUGAUGGCGAGUAAGAUUGGCAAAUAUAAUAGAUUAGAAAUAGAUACAGUGGUGGCAGCGAGAGAUUACGAUACUCUUACUUAAAAAAAAUAUUACCUUCUCUUUAAUAUCGAUAUUUAUAAUUCAAAGAAAAUUGCUCGAUUAUCCAGCCUGUGUCACGAUCAAUUCGGAUAAUCAAGACUCCGCCGUAUAAUAAACGUGUAAAACGUGUAAAUUUAUGUACAAAGCCGAACAGAAAACUAACGCGUCGCGUCGAUUCUAUUUUACUUCGUUUAUAUUUAGUUUAUUCAUGGUUUUCUGCUUUGAACGCCUGCCGGUUAUAUCAUCGUUUACGCGAUUCUGUCUUAUUAUAAAUAGGAUUUUGAAUAAAAUAUUAGGUUGUGGGAAAAGUUUCUUUCGUUUCAUAAGGUGAUAACAGAUGAACAAGAAUUUCUGUUUUAUAUUAUUUUAUCGAAUUACGUAUGAUCCAUUUCGUUCUAUCUCUAUUGUUACGUUCCUGCAUAAUUCAAUAAACUGAUAUAAAACAAAAAACGAUUAUAAAACGAAAGAAGCUCCUCAUACGAUGAUCAACUAUAUCCGGUUGAUUUUUAUCGGGAAUAAAUAAUUUAUAAAUAAACGUAGCGAUCAAAAACGAAAGUAUCAGUCGACAGGUGUUGAGUCGCUUGUGCAACACGCCCUAAUAGCACGUGCAACAUCGCCUUUGACACGAUCGCUGACCACGCAUCGGUGUAUACCUAUAAACUAAACCGUAUAUGCCGUUGCAACGAAUCGUGCGUUCGUAUCGCUAGAUUAAAUCACGCUUCACGCGGAACGAAGAGCUGCGGCACGAAGCGAGCCGCGUAACCCGGCCUUUGCGCUCGAGAAACACGCGUAAGAGGGAAUCGGCCGACGAACUGCGAAACUACAAAGCCCCUGUGCUCGAUUGUGUACAGUGUGGUCUACUAGCUUCCGGUCUCUGGCGUGCAGCAGUUUACUAUCGAGCAUCCGGCUAUUCCGUCCACGCAAUCUCUCUUGUCUAUAACCUGCGCGAAUCUCCGAAGCGUAAUCCUCAAAGUAUAGAGAAUAGAGAGCUACCUGUCGUUACUUAACGAAUUUCAUUAUUUUCCUCUCGAUACGCGUGCUGUUGGUGGUAAAGGAGAUGAGCCUAAGCGACGUAGGUUCGAUCGGUUUCUAACGAUAUUGCACCAUUUUCCUUUGAGAUCAUUUUUAGCAACAAGGUACGUACUCGCGUGUAUUUUCGUUAUUGGCCGAGAUGGUCACGUUUCGAAAUUUGUCGUCUACGUUGUCGGAUAGAAAGCCGAACGCAACUUUACCGUUGUUUUUACUAUCGAUUCUUGGGAGAAGUGUCUAGCUUUUAUUCCGCUGGAGAUCGGACAGUAAAAGCGUCAAAUAUGUACGCGGAGACAGUUGAAAUCGACGGGAGAUUGGAGAGGUUGAUGGUCGAAGCGCGGAAACGAGCGAAUCGUUCCCCUCUGCGAUCGGAUACACGUCAGAAAUGCGAGUGGGAUUGUCAAGCGCAGGAAUGAUGGUGCAGGUAGCACGGCAUUGGCGAUAGGGGCGUGCAGGAAUCGACGGAAGUGUCAGUGACAGUGUAGGGAUUUAACGAGUUUUCCUGCCCUUCUCCUAUAGGGUGUACUCGCGUCGUCGACCGACGUGUGUCUCAAAUAGCGUAAUAUAGCGGCAAAACGAUGGAAAUCUAAUUUCUCUCGAUUCAGCCACGUUGUUCUUGCGUCUGUCUGCUCGCUGACAACAUGCAGCGCGUGACUUAAUUAUAUUCUUGAUUCUGAAACCGGUCAGAAUGGCACAAGGCACACGACAGGGUCUUCGUGAACAGACGCAAGUCGGAAUCCUUACGCGAGCGUGCUGCUGCUCGUCUCUCUCUCUCUCUCUCUCUUUCUCUCCCUCUCUCUCUCUCUCUCUCUCUGUCUCUUUUUGCACGUUUCCUGUAUCUCGCUACUCAUCGUGCAACAUCAAUUCCAUUUUCUAUCUACAAAGACUGGCGCGUGAGAAGAGUCGCGAGACCGAGGGAGGAUGAAAGAAGGACAGGGAAUCGUGGAGAGCCUCACAGCGAGAGGUAGACAGAGAAGAGACGAGCUGUGAGGGUGGGAGGCGGGCGAAAGAAGUCGGAAGCGGUCGAGGGAAAGAAAGAGGAUUCGAGGAGAUUUAAUACCAGAUAGGAUUGAGAGGCAAGGAUAGGGCCGAAGGUAAACAUCUUCCUUAAAAGAGGGCUGAAUUUGUAUUUUGUCACCCGUGAGCACAUGCAUAGCUAAGCCUGCGGCCUCCUCUACCCGUCGCAACAACCGUGCUCAGGGGACGUCUAAAUUUUAACGGGUCGUGCGGGGUCGCUGUCGUUCGGACACGCCUGUAUCUCCGCGUACGUUAUAUUCGCUUGUUUGCCUUCUUUAUCUCUCGAGGGGGCAGAAGAUCGUCUUUUCGAUUCACCCCUCCGGUACUACGAUCGUAUUCUUUUUGCUUGGCGCGUUAAACAACUCAAGCAACGAACGAUGGUUCUUUUUAAGUAACUUUGACUAUCGAGUGGCGGUAAAAUGGGCGGCGACCGCGUUCCUUUGGAUUUACGAAACGUUCCAUACGCGUCAAUGGCGCGUUGGAAAGUUAAGCGGAUAACGACCUAGAAGAAAGAGGCGCCGUCUGGCCUUUUCCGCAACGACAAAUUACGUUAUUUGCCGCGGUUAUCCUAACGCGAGAACUCGUCAAUAUGGUCUCCUGUAAAUAGCCGUGAUGCGCUUAGGGUAGCGUCGAUGGGCACUUUCUGUCGAGCUUCUAACAAUUCUAGUCAAGCUGCUCUCUUUCUCUCUCUCUCACUUCCUCUCUCGCUCCUGGAUAAGCUUUUGUUCCCAUUGAAAACGGUGGACGUUGUUCUCCGCGAGCUCGAACCAACUCGUUUGAGAUAUUAAUCAGUGGAAGGAAGAAACAACGGAUCAAGCGGGUAUUACGUCGCCGUAGAGACUCGUAUCAUCCGCUUUCAGAUCUUCCCACUAGCCAUUUCGUCGCUGUGACGUUCUGACGUUACGAUUCCCGAUUUUGCUCGAUAACCGGCAACGGUGCACAAAAGUGUUUUUUUACCAUCGCGUUAUAUUCCGAACGCGUCGCGAUUCUUGUCUGUUUAUUUUAGUUCUCGCUGAAUUUUGUCAUUUUUUGUGACCGGUAGAAUGAAUCUGGCUGUAAAUGUUCUUCGUAGCAAGUUAGGACGCGUUCGAAUCAUUUUUUCUUUUUACUAUACAAUUUUAAAGUUUUCGGAUAUUCGCAGAAUCUCAGAGUUUGUUGUUCGUUUUCUGUUCGCCACUGUAUUUCUAGCUGUAAAAGAUAAAUUCUCCAGUUUACGUUUCUCCGUUGUAUUUCUCCAGGUUGCUAAGUCUGUUUUCUUUUUUAA